CAAUGAUUAAGAGUAUGUUACAAGUUAAUUCGAUACAUCAUUAAUAAAUCUGUCACUCUCGAUACAUUAGUAUAAUGAGAUUAAGAUGUAUUUCAAUGAUUAUUAAUGAGAUAAAAUUUGUGAUAGAAAAGGGAUAGUGAAUUCUAAAUUCUAAUUCGGCAAAGUUUCAAGUGAAACAUACUCUUAAGUGGAUAAUAGUAAUUUUCAUUGUUUGGAGUAUGU
RNAcentral lists this long non-coding RNA (222 nucleotides) under Phoenix dactylifera (date palm). RNAcentral describes it as "long non-coding RNA (PDAC_LNC010037)". The record is from RNAcentral. Lineage: Eukaryota; Viridiplantae; Streptophyta; Magnoliopsida; Arecales; Arecaceae.